GGAAGGGUGGCCGAGCGGUCGAAGGCGCACGACUGGAAAUCGUGUAGGGUUAACAGCCCUCCAGGGUUCGAAUCCCUGCCCUUCCG
This 86-nucleotide transfer RNA is filed under the name Elusimicrobiota bacterium. RNAcentral's name for it is "Elusimicrobia bacterium (mine drainage metagenome) tRNA-Ser". It matches the Rfam family "tRNA". Rfam says of the family: Transfer RNA (tRNA) molecules are approximately 80 nucleotides in length. Their secondary structure includes four short double-helical elements and three loops (D, anti-codon, and T loops). Further hydrogen bonds mediate the characteristic L-shaped molecular structure. tRNAs have two regions of fundamental functional importance: the anti-codon, which is responsible for specific mRNA codon recognition, and the 3' end, to which the tRNAs corresponding amino acid is attached (by aminoacyl-tRNA synthetases). tRNAs cope with the degeneracy of the genetic code in two manners: having more than one tRNA (with a specific anti-codon) for a particular amino acid; and 'wobble' base-pairing, i.e. permitting non-standard base-pairing at the 3rd anti-codon position. Lineage: Bacteria; Pseudomonadati; Elusimicrobiota. The record is from RNAcentral.